GGGGCGAGCACCGGAUCCUGGGCUGUGUCCCCUGGUGCCCUGGGCUCCCGGGCCUGCGCCGCUGGAAUCGCUCUCCCGGGGCCGCGCAGCCCCCU
RNAcentral lists this microRNA precursor (95 nucleotides) under Canis lupus familiaris (dog). RNAcentral describes it as "mir-8799 microRNA precursor family". It matches the Rfam family "mir-8799 microRNA precursor family". The record is from Rfam by way of RNAcentral. Lineage: Eukaryota; Metazoa; Chordata; Mammalia; Carnivora; Canidae. RNAcentral also lists the same sequence under 1 other name.